CAUGCAAGUCGAGCGGCAGCACGGGUACUUGUACCUGGUGGCGAGCGGCGGACGGGUGAGUAAUGCCUAGGAAUCUGCCUGGUAGUGGGGGAUAACGCUCGGAAACGGACGCUAAUACCGCAUACGCCCUACGGGAGAAAGCAGGGGACCUUCGGGCCUUGCGCUAUCAGAUGAGCCUAGGUCGGAUUAGCUAGUUGGUGAGGUAAUGGCUCACCAAGGCGACGAUCCGUAACUGGUCUGAGAGGAUGAUCAGUCACACUGGAACUGAGACACGGUCCAGACUCCUACGGGAGGCAGCAGUGGGGAAUAUUGGACAAUGGGCGAAAGCCUGAUCCAGCCAUGCCGCGUGUGUGAAGAAGGUCUUCGGAUUGUAAAGCACUUUAAGUUGGGAGGAAGGGCAGUUACCUAAUACGUGAUUGUUUUGACGUUACCGACAGAAUAAGCACCGGCUAACUCUGUGCCAGCAGCCGCGGUAAUACAGAGGGUGCAAGCGUUAAUCGGAAUUACUGGGCGUAAAGCGCGCGUAGGUGGUUUGUUAAGUUGGAUG
RNAcentral lists this ribosomal RNA (547 nucleotides) under Pseudomonas savastanoi pv. savastanoi. Its description in RNAcentral is "bacterial SSU rRNA". It matches the Rfam family "Bacterial small subunit ribosomal RNA", at positions 54 to 594 of the family's 1533-position model. The record is from RNAcentral. Lineage: Bacteria; Pseudomonadati; Pseudomonadota; Gammaproteobacteria; Pseudomonadales; Pseudomonadaceae.